This 459-nucleotide ribosomal RNA is filed under the name uncultured bacterium. Its description in RNAcentral is "partial 16S ribosomal RNA". It matches the Rfam family "Bacterial small subunit ribosomal RNA", at positions 338 to 795 of the family's 1533-position model. The record is from RNAcentral.
CCUACGGGAGGCAGCAGUGAGGAAUAUUGGUCAAUGGCCGGAAGGCUGAACCAGCCAAGCCGCGUGAAGGACGAAGGUGCCAAGCAUUGUAAACUUCUUUUGUCAAGGGACACAAUCAGGCUCGAGAGCCUGACCGAGGGUACUUGAAGAAAAAGCAUCGGCUAAAUCCGUGCCAUCAGCCGCGGUACAACGGAGGAGGCGAGCGUUAUACAGAUUUAUUGGGUUAAAUGGGUGCGUAGGCGGACUGUUAAGUCAGCGGUAAAUGCCCGGGGCUAAGCCACGGCGAGCCGUUGAAACUGGCGGUCUUGAGAUGUCGAGAGGUAUGCGGAAUGCGAAGUGUAGCGGUGAAAUGCUUAGAUAUUGCGAAGAACUCCGAUUGCGAAGGCAGCAUACCGGCGGCGAUCUGACGCUGAGGCACGAAAGCGUGGGUAUCGAACAGGAUUAGAUACCCGAGUAGUC